RNAcentral lists this ribosomal RNA (446 nucleotides) under uncultured bacterium. Its description in RNAcentral is "partial 16S ribosomal RNA". It matches the Rfam family "Bacterial small subunit ribosomal RNA", at positions 338 to 795 of the family's 1533-position model. The record is from RNAcentral.
CCUACGGGAGACAGCAGUCGAGAAUCAUUCACAAUGGGGGAAACCCUGAUGGUGCGACGCCGCGUGGGGGAAUGAAGGUCUUCGGAUUGUAAACCCCUGUCAUGUGGGAGCAAAUUAAAAAGAUAGUACCACAAGAGGAAGAGACGGCUAACUCUGUGCCAGCAGCCGCGGUAAUACAGAGGUCUCAAGCGUUGUUCGGAAUCACUGGGCGUAAGGCGUGCGUAGGCUGUUUCGUAAGUCGGGUGUGAAAGGCGCGGGCUCAACCCGCGGACGGCACCUGAUACUGCGAGACUAGAGUAAUGGAGGGGGAACCGGAAUUCUCGGUGUAGCAGUGAAAUGCGUAGAUAUCGAGAGGAACACUCGUGGCGAAGGCGGGUUCCUGGACAUUAACUGACGCUGAGGCACGAAGGCCAGGGGAGCGAAAGGGAUUAGAUACCCUAGUAGUC